RNAcentral lists this ribosomal RNA (483 nucleotides) under uncultured bacterium. RNAcentral describes it as "partial 16S ribosomal RNA". It matches the Rfam family "Bacterial small subunit ribosomal RNA", at positions 30 to 507 of the family's 1533-position model. The record is from RNAcentral.
UUGCACGCUGGCGGCAGGCCUAACACAUGCAAGUCGAGCGGAUGAAGGGAGCUUGCUCCUGGAUUCAGCGGCGGACGGGUGAGUAAUGCCUAGGAAUCUGCCUGGUAGUGGGGGAUAACGUCCGGAAACGGGCGCUAAUACCGCAUACGUCCUGAGGGAGAAAGUGGGGGAUCUUCGGACCUCACGCUAUCAGAUGAGCCUAGGUCGGAUUAGCUAGUUGGUGGGGUAAAGGCCUACCAAGGCGACGAUCCGUAACUGGUCUGAGAGGAUGAUCAGUCACACUGGAACUGAGACACGGUCCAGACUCCUACGGGAGGCAGCAGUGGGGAAUAUUGGACAAUGGGCGAAAGCCUGAUCCAGCCAUGCCGCGUGUGUGAAGAAGGUCUUCGGAUUGUAAAGCACUUUAAGUUGGGAGGAAGGGCAGUAAGUUAAUACCGUGCUGUUUUGACGUUACCAACAGAAUAAGCACCGGCUAACUUCGUG